GGCCUCCUCCUGCUUACCACAGGCUGUGUUCUUACACUGACUGUAUAGAAAGAGGAGGCAAAGGAACCCCGCCCCAUGUACACCCCAGCCUAGGCCCUCCUGCCUGGUCUGUAUUGUGAAUGGGGAGACAUGG
Small nucleolar RNA from Acomys russatus (golden spiny mouse), 133 nucleotides. RefSeq annotates it as small nucleolar RNA SNORA51. The record is from RefSeq and is a predicted model, not a curated record. The transcript has a single exon. Lineage: Eukaryota; Metazoa; Chordata; Mammalia; Rodentia; Muridae.